Molecule: unclassified non-coding RNA, 254 nt
Filed under: plant metagenome
Description: partial contains small subunit ribosomal RNA and internal transcribed spacer 1
Rfam family: Eukaryotic small subunit ribosomal RNA (bases 1-46)
Source: RNAcentral
AAGUCGUAACAAGGUUUCCGUAGGUGAACCUGCGGAGGGAUCAUUAUUGAAUUUAAUGUAGAGUUGGUUGUAGCUGGCUCCCUUGGAUUAAAUUUCUUUGGGGGCAUGUGCACACCUUCUCUUUCAUCCACACACACCUGUGAACCUGUGAGAUAGUAGUUUGGGGACUUUAAUGGACCCACUUCUGUCUACUUAAUUCAUAAAAAUCAUUUAAUUUAAAACGAAUGUAAUGGAUGUAACGCAUCUAAUACUAA